This 4277-nucleotide long non-coding RNA is filed under the name Chlamydomonas reinhardtii. Its description in RNAcentral is "long non-coding RNA (CREI_LNC001055)". The record is from RNAcentral. Lineage: Eukaryota; Viridiplantae; Chlorophyta; Chlorophyceae; Chlamydomonadales; Chlamydomonadaceae.
GGUGUUGGGCCCCGACCCCGACCCCGACCCCUCCCCGGUCACCGGUCCGGGAGGUUGUGCGCACGCCAGCAUCCGCAGUACCUUUGGUCCAACGUAUGUCACGACUCUGGCACUCUGAUCAUACUCCGACUUCAGUCGCCAUGACUACAUGCGCCUCCAGGGGCCUCCCCUGUACGCCUCCUUUCACCUCUACGCCACUAAGGGCCACUACCUGCACACGCCUCCUCUCGUGCUCAGCAUUACAACACCGUACGUUGCGUCCCCUGUCAGUUGACUCCCUUAGGGGCACGCCCCAUGGAUCGCAUGGCGGUCCGCUAGUACCGCUACGUGUUUACCGCAUAGCUAGCACAAGUAACAGUUUUACAGACUGACUGCGUAACCCUAGUUUUGCCGCUUCAUCAUCAGCCCUAAUGCCCCUGUACAAUACCCUUUCCAUACCCCCUCGCAAUUCCCAGCUAUGGCCGGGUGCGCACGGACCGGGUUAGACGGUGAGCGACCGAUGCUGCCGUACACAGCAGUGCUGUCACGCCAGCUCGUGUGACCGGACACGGCGAGGGAUAGUGCCGGGAAAGCUGCCUAACGUCAGGGUUAGGGUUGUUGCGGCUGUCGGGUUUAGGGCAGUGUCAGUGCGGAACGGGUGCCUCCCGGGCUCCGGACGGUAGAAGGCUGAGUCAUUGCUAGCCUUACUUUGUUGUGCUUUAUGAGUGUGAAGUACGUUGGAACGCAGUUUGUAGAUGCCGUUAUGACGUGGUUAUGACGCGGCUAAGGAUUUGCGUAUCCGGAUGAGGCGAUUCCCCCUUGGGGCGAUUCCCCCUUGGGGCGGUUGUUUGUGUGGUCACUAGCUCGAGACGACUUGUUCUGUCUCGAGCUCUCUGGUACGGCUUGCUGGUUAGCGAUUUCACAGACAGAACCCCGCUGCGCCUAUACACGGCCAGCGGUAAUACGCGUUUAGCUCGGAAUGUGCCUAAUUGCCAGCCUACCCCAAUUUGGCCCACUUGCCCGUGCGGCUGGCCCGCACGGAUUCAGAGCCUGCCUGAUUUAAUAUUGCAUGCUUAUAUUAUAUAAGGAUUAUCCAAGGACUGGGAGGCCAGUAAGAGGCCGAUUCCCGACCAGUCCCCGAAAACGGCCCUGCGCGCCCGCCCGAUUAUUUGGCCCACUCGCCAGAGCCCACGCCCUGGUCCUCAAAAGCCUGCCUGACCGCCCAGUUCUCUGCAUAUAUAUUAUCAUUUACAUGUAAGUGAUAGCUUAGCAAGCUUAAAUGGGUAAACUAGGGCUGGCCCUGCCGGGCUCGGUGCGGCGGGUGCCACUCCGGCAAGUGCCUGGGGACUGCAUGAUUCCAGGCCCCUAUAGCAUCGAAAUGGCAUCAUGUGACAUAUGUAAAGGUCUCUGGACGGUUUCUGGACAUAAAUUGUAGCGAAAACAGAAGUCAAAAUGUCAAAUGUCGCGCUCGCUAGGACCCAGCCAAUUCGCCUCGAAGCUAUCUAGCUUACAUCUAAGUGUGCAGAUAUAUCGACGGCAUGAAAUCCAGGAACAAAACACCGCCUAUGCGAGAUAUGGCAUGUGGAGCAGACGGACUGCAGGUUGCCUGGUCUGCGCAUUUAAUAUCUUAUGAUGUUUGUCCUUUAGUGAUUUGUGCAAGCCAGAAUGCGCCUGCAGACGACAAACAAAACAACAUGCUGAGCAUUCAAGGCGCGAUGUGCACCCAGAACACUCCCAAUCCUGCCCGGACGGUUGCAACAAUCCUCAUAUGACAUCUAUAGGGUAUCGAAAUCGGCAAAUCGCCAGCAGGGAUGACCAAAACGCCUCGCGGCCCGGUGGGCCAAUUUGGGGUCGCCCCUCAGUUUUCCCCCCAAAACCCGGCCCCCAGAAUUGACUCGCCCACCGCGCCCUUUUGACCCCCAACCCGUGCAAUAAUCUUAUAUAGUGCUUACAUCAAUAUUUAGGCAAGCGUGGGCGCCUAGGAAGCCCUGUAGCGGUCUGGGCCAAAAGUGGGCCAAAUAUGGCACAUUCCGAGCUAACCAACAAGAGGUCUUACACGAAUCGAUAUCUCGCCAACCUAAAUUAGUCUGUGCGCUCAGCAAGGGGCAGUGAGCCACGCAGCACCACAUCAGCCAGGGCACGUCAGGAAUGCGUUAUCACGCGUUAGGGCGUGACAGUGCCGCUGCUGAGCUGUGAGGGGCGCCGCAGGGUCCAGCUGCCGCACAUGCCGGCUGCGUGCCCGUGCUGGGAGCUGCCGUGGGCGGGCUGACGGGUCACGCUCGUUGCCAGCCACGGUUGCCGGCACCCUCCGGCACACGCACGCUCGUAGUCACGGAUCAGGGCUAUCGGGUUGCCAUACGCGGUCGCGGAGACCUGCACGCUCGGGCUGCCGCUCACGAUUGCGGGGAUCAGGGCUCUCAGUUUGCCAUAUGCAGUCGCGGAGACUCAUAGCAAACGGCUACAGGGAUAGAAGACCAUUAUUCUGCCUUCCACCUGUUGGCGUGCCCCGGCCCCCGCAGGGGGCGCGGCGCACCCAUACGUUUCAGAAAGCGGCAGUUGGCAAAGAGUUGCACAACACGUGUUCCCCGCUCCCGCCGAGUGCAUACAAGCAAUAUUUAAGGCCUCCGUCACACGAAGCUGUUGCACAUCAGGAAGAAGAGGCCCCAGCGACGAAGUUCAGAUACCUGGCUCGAACCCGACCGUGAAAGUGACUGAUGCUGAAACAGGUAAUACUGAUGCUGACACAUGUAAUAUACGCUUAAACGCAUAGAAUGGAGUCCGAUGCCUCAACAAAGUCAAUGUUGAGGCCGAUUGUAUCGCAAAGGCUGGUGCUGUUCGAAUUGAUUUAUGAGGUUCAUAAAUUGCUCUAAAAUAAGCACUUGUGAACCUUUCAGAAGCCUCGUAGGCGUGUCAGCUGCGAGCGCGAUCAUGUGUCCUUAAUACAGCCGCGCUGGCAGCCCCAUGUAGUGAGACCAAUAAAUCUGAGACUCGUUCAUCAUUAUACUUGUAAAACGUAUAGGGCUGAACGGUUUCGCCGCAACUUGAACUUCGCGACGUCCAACCGUCCGACGCACAGGCGCCCCGACCCUUCAGCACCGGCACUCAGAUCACAUAUUACGUGUAGUGGAGUCUGCAGCUCGCGAUGGGGGACGGUUUGACGGGUUUUGAUGGGGGGGGUGGUUCGGCAGAGCUGCGGGCACGCGGGGGGAAGUCCGCGCGCGACCUCGCAAUUUGACAUGCCGUUGGCCCAGCUAAUAAUAUUACAUAAAUACGUAAGUACUCAGAAGCUGUGCGGGCGAACACGAGCGAUUCUGCGUCCAUUGGAUCCCAUUUCCCCAGAUCGGCCCAGAUGAGGUGCUGCGCCCCGACCCCACACGGGUAUGACGCCGGUCUGAAGAGGGGCAAAAACGUGUCCACACGUGUUUCUCCACGCUCGCGUAGACUUAGCCUCCCUCUUUCAGGAAUUGACUUAUAUGACAUAUAAGGAUGUAAAAGUUUGACUCCCGUCGCAUUCUGCGAGGGUGGCUGUCACCACAUUUCGCGAGGCAUGCUUUCGCCAGGGUCGCACUCUUAAGCCCGGGAGCAUGUUUCUAGUCUCCUUGCAUGUAUGUUUGAUGACGACCACAAUAAUUGGCAUCAAAGCGCGGUAAUUGCGCAGACUUGAGAAGCCUGUUCACCGCGACGUCACCGAAUAGGCCGCAAACAAAAUAUUUGAGGUCUCUAUAGUAUCAAGGUGAUACUUGUAGAACGCUGGUAGCUCAUUCGGAGGUCGGCCUGACGACCGUCGCCGACCGUGCCAAGCUGGGCGGAACGCAUCCCCCGGACGCCACGCGAGCUAGACCAGUCUAGGCCGUGUCGUCCGCCCGGGACCACGUUGGCCGUGCCUUAAAUGGGUGACCUAUAGCCGGAGUUUGGGGAUCGGACGACAAGGCCAAGGCAGGUAACCAGGCUGUGCCGUUUGACCCCUCUCCCAGACCGGCGUCAUACCCGUGUGCCCCGACCCCGACCCCGACCCCAACCCCAACCCCUCCCCUAUGUGCACGCCAGCAUCCGCAGUACCUUUGGUCCAACGUAUGUUACGACUCUGGCACUCAGAUCAUACUGAGACUUCAGUCGCCAUUUCUACACCAAAGUUCUACGCCACUAAGGGCCACUACACGCACACGCUUCCUCUCGUGCUCGGCAUUAUAACACCGUACGUUCCGUCCCAUGUCACUUGACUCCCUUAGGGGCACGCCCCAUGGAACGCAUGGCGGUCCGCUAGUCUGUCCAUGCAUCGCAUCAGCGUUUGGUUGAGA